This 227-nucleotide long non-coding RNA is filed under the name Elaeis guineensis (African oil palm). RNAcentral describes it as "long non-coding RNA (EGUI_LNC023244)". The record is from RNAcentral. Lineage: Eukaryota; Viridiplantae; Streptophyta; Magnoliopsida; Arecales; Arecaceae.
CGUGGGAAGGAUGGUCCCCUCCUAUAUAAAACAGAGUCUCUCUUGACUUCAAUCAAUAUGAAAUUAAUGAUGUCCUUCCUUCUACAUUAUAAUACCUCUUAAUUUUAUCAACUUCAUUUCACCAAGAAGCAUGUCUCACCAUGUACCACACAAAUGGCAUGGUGGUUCCAAGUCUUUGACCAACACUGGCCUUGGGUUCCAGAUGAUCCCCACUAAAGCAAUCCCGG